This 89-nucleotide transfer RNA is filed under the name Intestinimonas butyriciproducens. It matches the Rfam family "tRNA". From Rfam's summary of the family: Transfer RNA (tRNA) molecules are approximately 80 nucleotides in length. Their secondary structure includes four short double-helical elements and three loops (D, anti-codon, and T loops). Lineage: Bacteria; Bacillati; Bacillota; Clostridia; Eubacteriales. The record is from Rfam by way of RNAcentral.
GGAGAGAUGGCUGAGCUGGUCGAAGGCGCACGAUUGGAAAUCGUGUAGGCGUUAAUAGCGUCUCGAGGGUUCGAAUCCCUCUCUCUCCG